RNAcentral lists this microRNA precursor (67 nucleotides) under Bombyx mori (domestic silkworm). Its description in RNAcentral is "mir-2774 microRNA precursor family". It matches the Rfam family "mir-2774 microRNA precursor family". The record is from Rfam by way of RNAcentral. Lineage: Eukaryota; Metazoa; Arthropoda; Insecta; Lepidoptera; Bombycidae.
ACAACAUUCGGACCGUCGGUCUACUGAGUAACUUCACCCACUCGGUAGAAGAUCUUCCCUCUGUCGU